AGCCGGUGGCUUGCUCUAAUUCAGCGUAAUAACGCUGAACAGGACAGCAACAUUCGAGUAUGUAGCCUGCACUUCAGUCAGGACGACUACGAAUCUCCGCCAAGCAUCGUGAAAUCUAUCGGCGUCAAUUUCCGGGUCUUCCUCAAGCGUGGUGUCACCCCGUCACAGAAUCUGCCAGGCAGCAGCGAGUCGAGGAAAAGACAGAGAUUGGACGCCGGCGAUGUACCACUUGCUGCUGAUGAAACUAUAGGCGCGAGGACGGUGAGUUGGGUGCCCGUAUCGUUGCUUUUUCACUGCAGUGACGCAUAUAUAUUACUCUAGAUUGAGCCAGUUGUCGGCCAACGGGGGUUGGCAGAUCAAGGUCGGACAGUUUGCCGUACAGACGUGGCGCAUCCUACGGUACCCGUUGCUGAACGCGAUGUCCUUUUGGUGACUUUGACUGACCCCACAGACACUAUAUCUUAACUGCAAAUCACUGGCAGCAACGACAGCAACUGCAGUGCAGCGAAUGAAACAGGAUAUGACAGCUACACAGAUGAAGGCACAGAUAUUCCACACGAUCCUCAACCGUCACAGAAGAGCGUUGGUACACAGGCACAAGGUCCUGUGAAGGUGACCAGAGGUGUACAGACAUGCAGGCAAAAG
Ornithodoros turicata is the source of this 645-nucleotide long non-coding RNA. RefSeq lists it as uncharacterized. NCBI's taxonomy places the organism in Eukaryota, Metazoa, Arthropoda, Arachnida, Ixodida, Argasidae. The transcript is spliced from 5 exons. The record is from RefSeq and is a predicted model, not a curated record.